GUGAGGGAAAGGUGAAAAGAACUGAGGUGAUCAGAGUGAAAUAGAACCUGAAACCAUUUGCUUACAAUCAUUCAGAGCCCUAUGUAGCAAUACAGGGUGAUGGACUGCCUUUUGCAUAAUGAGCCUGCGAGUUGUGGUGUCUGGCAAGGUUAAGCAAACGCGAAGCCGUAGCGAAAGCGAGUCUGAAUAGGGCGCUUAGUCAGAUGCUGCAGACCCGAAACGAAGUGAUCUAUCCAUGAGCAAGUUGAAGCUAGUGUAAGAACUAGUGGAGGACUGAACCCAUAGGCGUUGAAAAGCCCCGGGAUGACUUGUGGAUAGGGGUGAAAGGCCAAUCAAACUUCGUGAUAGCUGGUUCUCUCCGAAAUAUAUUUAGGUAUAGCGUUGUGUCGUAAUAUAAGGGGGUAGAGCACUGAAUGGGCUAGGGCAUACACCAAUGUACCAAACCCUAUCAAACUCCGAAUACCUUAUAUGUAAUCACAGCAGUCAGGCGGCGAGUGAUAAAAUCCGUCGUCAAGAGGGAAACAACCCAGACUACCAGCUAAGGUCCCUAAAUCUUACUUAAGUGGAAAACGAUGUGAAGUUACUUAAACAACCAGGAGGUUGGCUUAGAAGCAGCCAUCCUUUAAAGAAAGCGUAAUAGCUCACUGGUCUAGUGAUUUUGCGCGGAAAAUAUAACGGGGCUAAAGU
This 687-nucleotide ribosomal RNA is filed under the name Campylobacter coli. RNAcentral describes it as "partial 23S ribosomal RNA". It matches the Rfam family "Bacterial large subunit ribosomal RNA", at positions 503 to 1188 of the family's 2925-position model. The record is from RNAcentral. Lineage: Bacteria; Pseudomonadati; Campylobacterota; Epsilonproteobacteria; Campylobacterales; Campylobacteraceae.